Molecule: long non-coding RNA, 9631 nt
Filed under: Prunus persica (peach)
Lineage: Eukaryota; Viridiplantae; Streptophyta; Magnoliopsida; Rosales; Rosaceae
Description: long non-coding RNA (PPER_LNC008568)
Source: RNAcentral
AACUUUUGUUCUUGAACCUACCUCAAAAAGUAGACGGAAGUGGCCGAAAACUGACAGAAUUUCAAUCGCUUAUUUAACCCCCUAAACACAGAAAUUUCUCAUUUCCCACACAACCAUCAGCUAGAACGUCUCGAGAGGUUGAGAAAGCAUACCUGGAUCGAAGAAAAUGGUGGUCGGAGGAGUCCGAACGAGCUCCGUGAAUUUUGGGUUAAAACCGGUCGGUUUUUGUCAUUUUUCGGUGAGCACAGGUGGUUCCAGCGGCUGAGGCUGGUCGGGAAGGAAAGAGUGAGGUGGCCUGGUUCUUUCGGGACCGGUACCUCCCGAAACGGUGGCCGGAUGCGACGGUGGUGACCCAAAAUCCCGGCUGAUGAAUAGUAACAGGGGGCUGUUUCUUGCGAAGGGAGAGGGAGGAAGCAGAAGAAGAAGAAGAAAAAGAAAAAGAAAAUUUAAAACUGCCCGGUUACUGUAGCACGAAACUGUUUGCUACACUAACAAAUUUUAAAAAUUACCUUUGCAUCCUUUUUGUUUUCAGACUUUUCCUUUUUCGUUACAACUCAAAAUUGGGCGUGCUGCAUGUCUACGAACUCAUGUCGACAAGCUCUACGUAAUGGUACCACUUACUUCUCCAAAAUCUUUUCGAAUCAGAAAAUAACCAAAAAACCCUUAUCCAAAGGGUAUAUUCGUAAAUUCAUAUUUAAAUUAAUUUAAUAAUUUAAUUGGGUAAAUAAAUUAGGGUCGGGGUGUUACAUAACUUGCAAACUAAUAGUUUCAUGUUCGAACUCUCAUGGCACCUUGGUAAUGUGCGUGAGAAAAUCCCCUCCUUAUUCCUAACUUUGGCAACCAAAAAAAAAAAGCGAGUCAUCAGGCCAUCAUAUAAAUUCAUCUCUUGUUGUUCGAUCAACAAAAAAAACUCAUCUUGUUAUUUUUUAUUUCAAAAUUAUUUAAUGAAUGCGUAGAACAAUAUAAUAAUGUAAAUAUAUUGGAUUAUUUAUCAUUAAACAUCAGUAAAAUUUUAAAAAUAUAGACAAUAAAAUGUUAUUAUAUAGUAUGAUGUACUUGCCAUUUUAAGUUUUUUUUUUUACUAGUAAGUAUACAAAACAUAUUUUAUUAUGUACAAGGCAUAUUAGUAAUCAAAUUGAUUUUGAUUCCUAUUACUGAAUACUUACAUAAGAAUGAUAUAAUAAUUAGUGGAAAAAAAAGAGGCCUGGUUUCAAACAAAGUACUAAUUACAUGAGUGGGAAAUAUAACUUCUGUUUACUUAUGUUACUCCAUUAAUAAAAUAAUAUAUUAAUUUGUAGCAACUCCGAUCUCUUGGACCAUAAGGGUCCAAGAGAUUUGUGGUCACCCACCGUUGAAUGUUAAUCUAACAGUUCAAAAGUUUCUUAAAAGGAGUACAAAAGCGAGUGAACCGCUGAAUUUACAUCCAACGGUGAGUGACCAUAAAUUUCGUGGACUCCUGUAGUCCAAGAGAUCGAGACUGUAAUUUGUAGAGGAAAUAGGUAACAAAUUUCCUAAAACCCUUGCUAUAUAUUUCUGUCCUGAAAGAUUUAAGGAGCCUCAAAUUUGGAUAUUGCAACCACUUGAGACGUUAAUUAAUUAGACUUUAGAGAACGGUUAGGAUAUUGCAAUUUUUGGAUAUUAUAUAUUCUUUCUCUACUUUACCUUAAUGACUCAUAAUUACCCACUAGCACUGUAACACAGCUUCAAGUUGAAGCCAUGGCAGAGGCGUGGGAGGGGAGAAAGACUACGUAUUUUUAUAGUGUUAUCUCUGACUAAUAAUACUAUAGUAUUCGUGAUAAUACUUCGAUGUGGCAUAACAUUAUUGGCCGAAAAUAACAAAAUAAUACUAUCUCCAUUACAAUUACGUUUUUAUCCGUGGGCUGCUCUUAGGCUUAUCUAGUCUUUAAAAUGCAGUUGAAGAAUUUAUUAUUAUAAAAAUGACGUGAGAGAGAGGGAGGGGGUCAUAUAUUUUCAGAAUAAUUUUGCUAAAAAACGAAAGCAGAAGAAUUAAUUAUUAUGAAAAUGACGUGUAAUAAAACCACAGGUUGUGUGACAUUGCCGUACGGUACAUGCAGUCGGUGAGUCCACAGAUGACCAUGCAUUUGUUUUGAGUCGGAUUAAGCAGUGAAUGGGGGCACUAGUUGUCCAUCUUUAUAUGACCCAAUGACUUAAGAUAUCUAUAUGCAUAGAGACUUUUAAAAAGUAGAAGCAAUACAGCCUUAGAAAGGCAGUGCGUGCAUGGAAAAGGAUUAUCUGGUCCCGAUAUAAAUUUACGGUACCUAAUACAUUAGCGCUAAUUGAUAAUUUUUUGAUACUCUAAUGAUAAGAUUGACAAUUAGUGUCGAAUUGAGAAUAUAUCAGGUACGAUAAGUGUCGAAUUGAGAAUAUAUCAGGUAUGAUAAAUUGAUAUUAAAUAUUUAGUCGGUAGUUGGUAGGUACUUAGUAGCUAUUAAGUAAAUAUUAUAUGAGAUAUGAAGAUCAACAUGAAUUAUAUCUUUGUAAUUAAGUAGCUAUGCUUGUAUCUGGUCUCGAUUUGUAUAUCUAUUAUUAGGUAAAAUACUUUGAGAAAGCACAAAUAGUUUGUGGACAUGAGCGAUAGAUACUGUGGUUGGAUUAUCAACAAUGACAGUGUGAACGACUUUUCUUCAUGGUGUGCUUUAGCUACAUCUUCUACGCUUCUGCGUUGGUCACAUUCAUGUAAUCUUGAACAUGAAGCAACGUACCACAAAGGCUACCAAAACUUUAAUAACUGUGGACCAGAAGGAAGCAGUAUAUAGGUCCUACUACCUGUGCAUUUUUGCUGACUAAUAGUUUGAUGCUUAAGGUAAAUCCAAUACAAUUAGUGUAAAUGUCGUUUUACUAUAUAAUUAGGUAUAUCCAAUACAAAAUAAAUCUUUAAUCUUGAACAUAUUUAUAUAGGGGAUUCUAUGACUCACAAAGAAAACCUACGGAUACAUUUAUGUUUAUGUUUAAUCUCAUUUUCUCUUUUGUAAUUCCAUCUACUUUUCAUAAGAGUUUGUUUGAAACAACUUAUAUAUAAAAACUACGCUUGUUUUUAGAUGAUUAUUGUGGUAGGAUGUAAUCAACAAAAUAGACAAACACGGUAUUUCAAGAAAAGAAUAUAAUAAAAACUAUCUAAUUGAAUGAUCAAAUAGUUUCGGAUCCAAGUGAUUGUCGCAGAGAUGAUCUUUGAAGAAAUAUCUAAAAACUAGAUGGUAUUGGAUUAUUGAAAUGCAUGGUGAGUCUUAUAAGGGUGUCUUUCAAAUAAACUUAUUUGAGAAAUCCCUCAACUAAAGCCAUAUCAGUCUCCUUCUCACAAUAUUUAUAUACACACCACACCUUUUGUGAAAAUCUAAAAAUGCUAAAUUAGAAAUGAAAACUGACAGUUAAAGAACUCUCAUGAUCACUCUACAAGAUUGUGACCUGAAUGAUGAAUCAGCAGCUUAAGUUCACCCCAUUAAUAAAAUCUUUUGCCGUUCCCAUCCCGCCUCUAAUAAAAGCUUACUUAAUACGUAGUCCCAUCAACCCCUACCAUCAAAGUAGGGGUUGAAUUUGGUGCUCUUUAGCCUUUAAUCACCACAAGAGUCACAAAUUCUUCUCUCUCCUUAUCUUUCCAACCCCACUGAUAUCUCAGGCAGGUCUAUAAAUAGGAAGAACCAAGCCAUAUUAUACUCACUCAGCAAUCAUCUCUUGCAUACUUUCAUAUAUACAUUAUCGUGCUUCUUGUUAAGCAAAACAUGGCAUCCUCAAAGGCUUUUCUUCUUCUUGGUCUUGUCUUUGCUGUUCUCCUCAUCUCCUAUGAGGUCUUAGCUAUUCCAACUCGUGAGUUUCUCACUUUCUUAACUAAAUCAUAAAUAUUAAAUUAGUAAUUGUAUCUUUCUUUCCAGUAACGAUUUGUGAAUUUAUGCACAUUUUAAUUAAGGUGCACUGGUCGUGAAAAUAAUUAUGCUUCGAACUCUUUUUCUACAUGUAGGGUUAGUAGUUGUUGCACUUGCAUGGCUUAAUUUGCAUCUUAUUAAAUACAAACCGAUUUAUGAUUGUUAUAAGUUAUGUAUAUUGUUUUUGCUUUAUAUAUAAAGUUUUUGGUUGUUCUCUCAGAGUCAGAGGAGAGUACAGUCAACGGUGAUGCCCGCGGAUUUGGAGGUCAUGGCCGCGGAUUUGGAGGUCAUGGCCACGGACAUGGAGGUCAUGGCCACGGACAUGGUGGUCAUGGCCACGGACAUGGAGGUCAUGGGCACGGACAUGGAGGUCAUGGCCACGGACAUGAAGGGUAUGGCCACGGACAUGGUGGAUAUGGCCACGGCGGCCACGGCCACCACGGCCACCACGGCCACCAUGGCAUAGGGAGGCCUGGUGCUGCUGAGACUGAAAUCAAGAAUUAGAUAACCUGUUAGUUUCUGUGACUUACGUUGCAGGUGUGUUGUAAGGGUAGCAGUACGAAAUAAAGUUGUUUGGUUGAGUAAUCUAUAUGAACUCUCAAUCAUAAACUGUCCUAAGCUUGUUCUCAUGUUUCUCAUGUUCUCUGUAAUGUACGCAUUGUAAUGUACGCAUUGGAAUGUGUUCUCUUGUUAUGUGAUAAAAUGUGAUGUAACUUUCUCAAUACAUAUUAUGUCAAAAAUGUUUAGUGUGGCUUGGCUCCUUAAAAUUGAGGGGGAGCACAUCCUCAUAACAAAUGAGAUUUUGGCACUAGUUAAACUUCAAAAAAAUAAAAAUAAAAAGAGGUUAAAAGAAUUCAAAUGAAAAAAAAAAUUAAAGGAAUUUGCCAAGUGUCAAAACUCUAUUUCUUUUGAGGAGGAACUGCUCCUCAGUUUUGUGGAGCCAAACUUUUUCCUAAUAUUAAUGGAGUUCAUGUAGACUCAUUUGUUUUGGGUACCAAAUUUAAUGAAUUGUGUAUUCAUUGGUGGACCCAUAAGCAUACAGUUUUUAAUUUAGGUGAGAUACUCUCGGCAAUUUAAAUCAUGUCAAAAACAUGAUAUCAAAAAAAAUCAGCCGUCAUCGAGUUUGUAGAUAAAGAAAUAAUAUAUAUGAAUGAACGUAAGCUAUAGAGAAGAACAUUUUGUGGAAAACUAGAAAUUUGUAGGGAGAAAUAAGAGGAAGAAAGGGAGUAUAAUUUGCUCAAAUAAACUUGUAUUCCAUUCAUAUUUGGUGCCACUAUUUAUAGGGGUAGAGAGGCCUAAAUCAUUUACCACCAAUAAUUGAUAGGUGACAAAUAUAUAAUGAUGAGUAUUAUGAUAGGUUAAUAGUGGCCAGUAAUUGGGGAGGGUUCCCUCUCUCUCUCUGACUCCCUCACUUUGGAUUCUGUAUUGAUUGUUCCAUCCUUACAUCAUAAUCUCUUAUAUGUUGCCCAAAUUACUACAUCUUUGAAUUGCAUUGUAACCUUUUGGCCUACACAUUGUGUUUUUUAGGACAUUCUCAGCAGCAAGACGAUUGGUUGUGGUACUAGGACGGGCAAACUCUACUAUCUGGACUUGGCAUCUGACAGUGAAGCCAGCCUCAGUCAAGCUUACAAAAUUGGGGUUACGAGUGUUGAGAAGCAAACUUUCGGAGUAUGGUUAUGACAUCGCCGACUUGGACAUGCUUCAUUUGGAUAUUUACAGAAGCUAUUUUCUUCCUUAUUUUUCCAGUUAGAUAUCUCUAGUUUUACGUGUAACAUCUGUGAAAUAGCCAAGAGCCAUCGUGUUCCUUUCCCUUUAAGUUCACAUAAAAGUUUGGUUCCUUUUUCUCUUGUUCAUUAUGAUAUUUGGGGCCCGCUAAAAUUACCACUCUCGGGGGAGCUAGAUGGUUUGUCGCGUUUAUCGAUGAUUGCACACGUAUGACCUGGGUUUCCCUUCUUCAAACAAAAGGAGAAGUCAGUUUCAAGUUUCAACAGUUCUAUCACAUGGUGGAGACACAAUUUCAUACAAGAAUUCAAGUUCUUCGGUCUGACAAUGGCGGAGAAUUUUUCUACCAUAAUCUUACUCAAUUCUUACAAGAUCAUGGCAUCAUACAUCAACGCUCAUGCCCUUACACUCCCCAACAGAAUGGUGUGGCUGAACGAAAGAAUAAACACUUAUUGGAAGUGGUUCGUGCCUCUCUCUUUGGUGCCAAUAUGCCUCGGUCUUUCUGGGGAGAAGACGUCCUCUUUGUAGCAUACCUUAUCAAUCUGAUUCCCUCCAGUAUCCUUAAUUUCCAAACCCCCCCUUCAAACACUCUACCACCAUAUCCAAAUACCUUAUACCAAAAACCUAGAACUACGGAUUUUUGGUUGUGUGGUCUUUGUCUUCUUACAUGAUCACUAACACAACAAAUUGAAUCCCCGCGCCAAAAAGUGUGUUUUUAUUGGUUAUGCACCUCAUUAGAAAGGUUACCGGUGUUAUGAUUCUCCUAGUCAGAAGGUCUAUACUUCUAUGGCUGUUGUGUUCCGAGAACACGACAUAUAUUUUUCAGCCAUACAGGAGGAGCAUUGCGAUGCCAACACAUCUCAAAUUUCAAGACUUUUCCUUUCAGAAUUGUCACAUACUGAAAACGACCAGUUGCAGAAUGCAAGCGACCGGUCGCCGAAGACUCUGCCUGAAAACGACCGGUCGCCUAAGACUCUGCCUGAAAGCGACCGGUCGUCCCCCGGAAAUCCGAAUCUGCUUCAAAACGACCGGUUGUCUCUCUGUUGUCAAACUCAGGAGGAGAACAUUGAGGAGUUUUUGCCCGCUCAGGAGAAUUCUUUAACUCCAGUACCCCACCAAUCACCUGCUGAGGACGUCAUUCAGGUAACCUCUUUUCCUGAAACUAAUAACAUUAAUGAAAUAUCCUAUGAUGAUUUAAUUUCAGAAGGCACAUAGCCUACAUAUUAGAUUCCAAAAUGGAAGAACGGUGGAAAACCUUCAGUUCACUACGAAGCAGACCUUAAUGCAAAAUGGAAAUAUCCCAUCGACAAUUAUGUAUCCAUCAGUAGAUUAUCGGAAUCACGGGUACACUUUGUGAAGCAGUUGGAUGGCAUACCUGUUCCCAACAAUGUAACUGAAACACUAGAAGACUCAACAUGGAAAGAAGCCAUGAAUGAAGAAAUGCAAGCUCUUCAGAAGAAUGACACAUGGGAACUCGUGCCAUUACCUCAUGGAAAGAAGACUGUCGGAUGCAGGUGGAUUUAUACUGUGAAACUCAAAGUAGAUGGAUCCAUUAAAAGAUAUAAAGCUAGAUUGGUGGGGAAAUGCUACACACAAAGAUAUGGGAUAGACUACCAUUAGACUUUUACCCCAGUAGCCAAGAUUAAAACUAUCAGAGUUCUUCUAUCUUUAGCAGCAAAUCUCGAUUGGCCAUUACAUCAGUUUGUUGUAAAAAAUGCAUUCUUACAUGGAGACUUGGAAGAAGAAGUAUAUAUGGACUUGCCACAAGAAUGUAACUUAGCUCGUGACAAGGAGAAUCAAGUUUGCAAGCUCUGAAAGUCAUUGUAUGGGUUAAAGCAAUCCUCUAGGGCAUGGUUUGGCAGAUUCACUAAAUCUAUGAAGAAUUUUGAAUAUAUACAAAGUAAUGUAGAUCACACCUUGUUCUUGAAGCAUGAUGGAAGAAGACUUACUGCACUGAUUGUUUAUGUGGAUGACAUAGUCGUAACUGGAAACGACACAGAAGAGCAAUUGACACUGCAGAAAUAUUUGUCUCAGGAAUUUGAGAUGAAGAAUCUAGGUGAUCUGAAGUACUUUAUAGGAAUUGAAGUAGCUAGGUCCAAAACUAGUAUAUUUCUGUCUUAAAAGAAGUAUGUAUUAGAUCUGCUCACUGAAAUAGGAAUGCUUGGAUGCAAACCUGCUGAUACACCCAUCGAGAUGAAUCACAAGUUAUGUGAAGACAUGGAUCAAGAACCAACCAAUAAGGAACAGUACCAACACCUUGUUGGAAGGUUGAUAUAUUUAGCUCACACAAGACCAGAUAUUGCAUAUGCUGUGAGUAUGGUUAGUCAGUUUAUGCAUUCACCCAGUGUGUCCCAUAGGAAUGCAGUUGAUCGGAUCUUAAGAUACUUAAAGUCAGCACAUGGAAAAAGGGUUAACAUUCUAAAAAAAUAGAGAUCUCAAAGUUGUUGGAUAUACAAAUGCUGAUUGGGCUGGCUCCGUUACUGACAGACGCUCUACUUCAGGUUACUUCACUUGUGGGAGGUAACCUAGUCACUUGGCGGAGUGAAAAACAAAAUGUGGUUUCUCGAUCUAGUGCUGAAGUAGAGUAUUGAGGAAUGGCUCACGGAGUUUGUGAAUUACUAUGGAUCAGAAGACUAUUGACAGAAUUGGGGUUUAAGCCAGGAAAGCCAAUGGAGUUACAUUGUGAUAACAAGUCAGCCAUCGAUAUUGCCCAUAGUCCAAUUCAACAUGAUCGAACUAAACAUGUUGAGGUGGAUAGACAUUUUAUCAAAGAAAAACUUGAGAAGAAGAUCAUCCGCCUACCGUUGGUAAAAUUAGAAGAUUAGUUGGCAAAUAUCUUAACCAAAGCUGUUUGUGGAAGAGUAUUUUCUGACUCACGUACCAAGUUGGGCAUUGGUGACAUAUAUGCACCAACUUGAGGAGGAGUGUCGACUUGAGUCUCCUAAUUAAUCAAGGAGGUUUACUUCCUUGAUUAAUUAAGGGAUUUACUUUCCUAUUUUUUAUAUAGUUGAUAAAUCAUUGUAUAAUUAGAAGAUACUUGCCUAAUUCUUUACUGUAUCUAAUUCCUUGUAUAGCACCCUGUAAACUCUUAUAUAUACCUCAUUAUGGAGAAGAAUAAAGUUAACCUAAUACAUUCAAAUCAUAUUCAUAUUUUAGCAUUCUCCUCAUCUCCUCUGAGGUCUCAACUACUCCAACUCGUGAGUUUCUCACUUUAAAUUAGUAAUUGUAUCUUCCUUUCCAGUAACGAUUUGUAAAUUUAGGCACAUUUUAAUUAUAAGGUGCACUGGUCUUGAAAAUGAUUAUGCUUCGAACUCUUUUUCUACAUGAAGGGCUAGUGGUUGCACCUGCAUGGCUUAAUUUGCACCUUAUUAAAUACAAACCUAGCUAUGAUUGUUAUAAGUUAUGUAUAUUGUUUUUGCUCUAUAUAUAAAGUUUUUGUUUGUUCUCUUAGAGGAGAGUAUAGUGGUGGCGGAGCCACUUCUAGGCCAGGAGCGGCCCUGGUCCCUUUAUUUUUUUUGACUUCUCUCCUAUAUUAUAUAAUGUAAUAUAUACAACUUACUAAUAGACAACUUGUAAUUCAAAUUAAUGGCCCCUUUAAAAAUAAUUAGGCAUGACUAAUUUUGAAAAUUUUAGCUCUAACAUGUGUUUUGAACACUUAUAUGUAUUUGAUAUACUUGUGUUUUCUAUCUUGGCCCCCUCAAUCUUAAAUUUCUAGCUUCGCCCGGUGAUGAUUUUCUAGAUGACCAUGGUGACGGACGUGGAGGGUAUGGCCACAGACAUGGAGGGUAUGGCCAUGGCCACCACGGCAAAGGGGGGCCUUGUGCUGCUAAGACUGAAACCAAGAAUUAGAUAACCUGUUAGUUUCUGUGACUUACGUUGCAGGUGUGUUGUAAGGGUAGUAGUACAAAAUAAAGUUGUUUGGUUGAGUAAUCUGUAUGAACUCUCAAUCAUAGACUCGUCUUAAGCUUGUUCUCGUGUUCUCUGUAAUGUACGCAUUGGAAUGUGUUCUCUUGUUAUGUGAUAAAAUGUGA